CAGCCUUUUUCCUGGAUGCCAGGGACUGCUAACUGGGUCAGACCCAGGAAAUGGUGCUCUACCAGACCCUGGGCAGAAAGAGUCCCCGAGUUCUUCCACCCGAUCUCAGCCGAGGCAAUGCCCAACAUUACAACCUCAGCUAAAAGCCUUUGAUCAUACUUGAAAGACUUUGUGAAAACUUAUGGAAGGUGUACUCUGCUCUUGGCCAAGAUUUUCCUUAAAGAAGGUCUGGAACCACAUGCAUCCUCCCUCAAAGCAGGAAGUAAAAGUGACACCUGUGGACGUCAUCAUUCCGCAGAGAAGUUCCUUCCUCCUAAGAGGGUCCAGCUUCCCCUCCAGGGGAGGAAACACGUCAGUCACUUAACUUAGAAUGCUGUCUCCAGUACACACGCCUGGACCCCUUUGGCCUGGUAAAGCCUAUGGACCUUCUUUCAGAUUAAUGUUUUUUUUUUAAAUAGUUUUG
Long non-coding RNA from Phascolarctos cinereus (koala), 463 nucleotides. RefSeq lists it as uncharacterized. NCBI's taxonomy places the organism in Eukaryota, Metazoa, Chordata, Mammalia, Diprotodontia, Phascolarctidae. The record is from RefSeq and is a predicted model, not a curated record.